Molecule: long non-coding RNA, 1070 nt
Filed under: Pogona vitticeps (central bearded dragon)
Lineage: Eukaryota; Metazoa; Chordata; Lepidosauria; Squamata; Agamidae
Description: lncRNA (ENSPVIG00000006074.1)
Source: RNAcentral
UUUACCUGCAAACAGGGAUAAGGGAAUAAUGGCUCAUUCUAAACCACUUAAUCCCCUUCCAGACAUUAUAACAACAAGUGGAGGACACUGAGAAAGAUUGUAGAUGCCUCUCCUGCAAUAAGUUCACAAGGAAAUGCAAGGAAAGUAGACCUGCUGGGUUAAAGAGCAAGCUGUAAGAGACGGAUGCUCUUCCCCGCGACACCCAGAAUCUGGUGCCUGAGGCAGAGGCUUUGAAUAUCACGACUGAAAGGUCUGCGGAAGCCUUUCCAGAGAUCAUCGGUGAGGCUACAAAGUCAACUGAAUGCAAGCAAUCGUCAGCAUGUACAGAAGUAUCACCAUAUGCCGGGGGGUGGGGGAGAGAAGUUCAUUUAGAGACCCUGAUUCUUCCCUUUGGGGGAGGCCAGGAGGAAAGAGCCCCUAAGCAGCUAUUUUAAGCUGUUUUUUUUUCCUUGGGGGAAGAGAAAUUUUGCAUUUCUUCUCUCCCUCAGCACAGGUCUUUGCUGUCCCCCCUGGCUGAGUUUAUAGGGCCAGCCAAGAGAGAACCCUGCCCGGUGUGAGAAGGAGGAGCCCACAGGCAAGGGAGCAGCUGCUGACCCUCCUUCUUGUGCUAAUGAACUAAUUAAUCACGGUAAAUAAGGCUGGCGAUCAACUCCAUCCUGAUGGAGAGCCAGCGCCAGGUGGGGGCCAGGCAGGAGGAGGCCCAGGUGGCCGACUGAGGGUCUGGAAAGAGAUUGGUCUCAAAACCGGGAAGGUCCCCGAGCAGCCCUGGAUGGGGACAGGGAGGCAUGUCCCUGUCCAUCAUCCUUCUGUAGGAGGCCUCCGCUCCUGCUGUGAUGAUAACUCCUGGCACACAGACAUGGAUGGAGGCCUCAUCAAAAGGAUGGAAUCCUAGAACAAACAUCAACAAUGGGAUUAAGAAUAGAAGAAGUGGCUUUCUGAAUGCACAGCCUCCGGAGCCUGAAUUAGCUAAUUUGUACCUGAAACAAGCAUUUUGUAGUUAUCAUGGUAGAAUGGUAAAUAUGUAAAUAAUAAGAAACAACGACAACAAUAAACAAUGUUUAAUUUGAUCA